RNAcentral lists this ribosomal RNA (808 nucleotides) under uncultured archaeon. RNAcentral's name for it is "bacterial SSU rRNA". It matches the Rfam family "Archaeal small subunit ribosomal RNA", at positions 85 to 876 of the family's 1478-position model. The record is from RNAcentral.
ACGGCUCAGUAACACGUGGCUAACCUACCCUUAGGACGGGGACAACCCCGGGAAACUGGGGCUAACAUCUGAUAGGUGAGGAGGCCUGGAAUGGUUCCUCCCUGAAAAGGCGUUGAAACCAUGCUUUUCAGCGUCGCCUAAGGAUGGGGCCGCGCCCGAUCAGGUUGUUGGUGGGGUAACGGCUCACCAAGCCAUUAACCGGUACGGGCCGUGAGAGCGGGAGCCCGGAGAUGGGCACUGAGACAAGGGCCCAGGCCCUACGGGGCGCAGCAGUCGCGAAAACUCCGCAAUGCGCGAAAGCGUGACGGGGCUACCCCGAGUGCCGUCCGCUGAGGAUGGCUUUUCCCCGGUGUAAUGAGCCGGGGGAAUAAGGAGAGGGCAAGACUGGUGUCAGCCGCCGCGGUAAUACCAGCUCUCCGAGUGGUAGGGACAAUUAUUGGGCUUAAAGCGUCCGUAGCCGGCUUGGCAAGCCUCCUGUUAAAUUCAGCGACUUAAUCGUUGAGCCGCGGGAGAUACUACUAGGCUAGGAGGCGGGAGAGGCCGACGGUAUUCCCGGGGUAGGGGUGAAAUCCUAUAAUCCCGGGAGGACCACCAGUGGCGAAGGCUGUCGGCUAGAACGCGCUCGACGGUGAGGGACGAAAGCUGGGGGAGCGAACCGGAUUAGAUACCCGGGUAGUCCCAGCCGUAAACGAUGCGGGCUAGGUGUUGAGGUGGCUACGAGCCACUUCAGUGCCGCAGGGAAGCCAUUAAGCCCGCCGCCUGGGGAGUACGGCCGCAAGGCUGAAACUUAAAGGAAUUGGCGGGGGAG